RNAcentral lists this unclassified non-coding RNA (213 nucleotides) under plant metagenome. RNAcentral's name for it is "partial contains small subunit ribosomal RNA, internal transcribed spacer 1, and 5.8S ribosomal RNA". The record is from RNAcentral.
UUUCCGUAGGUGAACCUGCGGAAGGAUCAUUCAUAAUAAGUGUUUUAUGGCACUUUUUUAAAUCCAUAUCCACCUUGUGUGCAAUGUCAGGGUUGAUUUUGCUCUCGAGAGGAUCAGCCCCAAACAUCAACUAUAUCUCAACUCUUUGUCUGAAAAAUAUUAUGAAUAAAACAAUUCAAAAUACAACUUUCAACAACGGAUCUCUUGGCUCUC